This 446-nucleotide ribosomal RNA is filed under the name Glandulospio orestes. RNAcentral's name for it is "partial 16S ribosomal RNA". It matches the Rfam family "Bacterial large subunit ribosomal RNA", at positions 1854 to 2588 of the family's 2925-position model. The record is from RNAcentral. Lineage: Eukaryota; Metazoa; Annelida; Polychaeta; Spionida; Spionidae.
CAAUUCUGCUCGCUGGAUAUAGCAUCUAAAGGGCCGCGUUAGCGUGAGCGUGCAAAGGUAGCAUAAUAAUUUGCCUAAUAAUUGUAGGCAGGAUCAACGAACGUACGCGGGCAGUGCUGUCUCGGAUUAGCAAAUUUGAAGUUAGCCCAAGGGUGAAUAGACCCCUAUAGCAUUAAAAGACAAAAAGACCCUACGAGCUUUAUUCUAUCUGUUUCUAAAAUAUGUUAAACUGAUCAGUGGGGGAGUUGGUUGGGGCAACUGGAGACCUUCUAAAAAUUCUACCCUAGUAUAAUGAACCAUAACGGUGAUCAAGUGUGGAGCUACCAUAGGGAUAACAGGCCAAUCCCCGUUAAGAGACCGUAUUGACAUGGGGGUUUGGUACCUCGAUGUUGGCUUAAGGUGGCUGUGUGAUGCAGGCGUCUCACAAAGUGGGCUUGUUCUGCCCU